ACUAUGCUUGGCCCUAAACCUCAGUAGUUAGAUAACAAAACUACUCGCCAGAAUACUACAAGCAACAGCUUAAAACUCAAAGGACUUGACGGUGCUUUACAUCCCCCUAGAGGAGCCUGUUCCGUAAUCGAUAAACCCCGAUCCACCCUACCCUCUCUUGCUCAGCCUAUAUACCGCCAUCUUCAGCAAACCCUAAUGAGGGCCACAAAGUGAGCGCAAACGCCGUCGCCGCGAAUACGUUAGGUCAAGGUGUAGCCCAUGAGACGGUAAAAAAUGGGCUACAUUUUCUAUUUCAGAAAACCCACGAAAACCCUUAUGAAACUUAAGGGUCCAAGGAGGAUUUAGCAGUAAAUUAAGAAUAGAGUGCUUAAUUGAACCAGGCCAUAAAGCGCGCACACACCGCCCGUCACUCCUCUCAAAUAUAUUUAAGGAAUAUCCUAACUAAACGCCCUAAUAUUUAUAUAGAGAGGAUAAGUCGUAACAUGGUAAGCGUACUGGAAGGUGCGCUUGGAUAAAU
RNAcentral lists this ribosomal RNA (517 nucleotides) under Macaca fascicularis (crab-eating macaque). Its description in RNAcentral is "partial 12S ribosomal RNA". It matches the Rfam family "Bacterial small subunit ribosomal RNA", at positions 789 to 1533 of the family's 1533-position model. Lineage: Eukaryota; Metazoa; Chordata; Mammalia; Primates; Cercopithecidae. The record is from RNAcentral.